AGGAGUGGCGAACGGGUGAGUAACACGUGGGUAACCUGCCCAUCAGAAGGGGAUAACACUUGGAAACAGGUGCUAAUACCGUAUAACAAUCAAAACCGCAUGGUUUUGAUUUGAAAGGCGCUUUCGGGUGUCGCUGAUGGAUGGACCCGCGGUGCAUUAGCUAGUUGGUGAGGUAACGGCUCACCAAGGCCACGAUGCAUAGCCGACCUGAGAGGGUGAUCGGCCACAUUGGGACUGAGACACGGCCCAAACUCCUACGGGAGGCAGCAGUAGGGAAUCUUCGGCAAUGGACGAAAGUCUGACCGAGCAACGCCGCGUGAGUGAAGAAGGUUUUCGGAUCGUAAAACUCUGUUGUUAGAGAAGAACAAGGAUGAGAGUAACUGUUCAUCCCUUGACGGUAUCUAACCAGAAAGCCACGGCUAACUACGUGCCAGCAGCCGCGGUAAUACGUAGGUGGCAAGCGUUGUCCGGAUUUAUUGGGCGUAAAGCGAGCGCAGGCGGUUUCUUAAGUCUGAUGUGAAAGCCCCCGGCUCAACCGGGGAGGGUCAUUGGAAACUGGGAGACUUGAGUGCAGAAGAGGAGAGUGGAAUUCCAUGUGUAGCGGUGAAAUGCGUAGAUAUAUGGAGGAACACCAGUGGCGAAGGCGGCUCUCUGGUCUGUAACUGACGCUGAGGCUCGAAAGCGUGGGGAGCAAACAGGAUUAGAUACCCUGGUAGUCCACGCCGUAAACGAUGAGUGCUAAGUGUUGGAGGGUUUCCGCCCUUCAGUGCUGCAGCUAACGCAUUAAGCACUCCGCCUGGGGAGUACGACCGCAAGGUUGAAACUCAAAGGAAUUGACGGGGGCCCGCACAAGCGGUGGAGCAUGUGGUUUAAUUCGAAGCAACGCGAAGAACCUUACCAGGUCUUGACAUCCUUUGACCACUCUAGAGAUAGAGCUUCCCCUUCGGGGGCAAAGUGA
Molecule: ribosomal RNA, 958 nt
Filed under: Enterococcus faecium
Lineage: Bacteria; Bacillati; Bacillota; Bacilli; Lactobacillales; Enterococcaceae
Description: bacterial SSU rRNA
Rfam family: Bacterial small subunit ribosomal RNA
Source: RNAcentral